GUUAUUUCUUUUAUUUUCAAAGAAAAUUGUGAAACCUCAUUGUUGAGCAAGAGAAGUUUCGGCCAAUCUUCCUACCUUGCUUUGGGUGCCGGUCUUGGGUGUCUUACCAAUGGCUGAGGUCCUGCAUUUGUUGCGGAUUCUCCACAGCUCGUGUGAGCAGCAUUGUGCAGUUUAACAUCCCGACCUACAGCUCGUGUGAGCAGGCCCAUUUCACAGCAUGUAUCAUUGGAAAGCUCAAUCGAUUGGAAUUUCGUUGGAGCACAAUCACACUAUCCAAUCAUUGUUUUGAUUAUCAGAUUUAAGCUGUUGAUUGGAUCAUCUUUGGAGACCACACUAUCUGUUAACUCUUUUGGUAGCUAUUUACUCAUUUUGGCCCGAUUAUAAGUGGCAUGUAAAUAGGUUAAUGACAGUAUAUGUACAUGAGUAGUUUGGUUAUGUUUUGUGCUAUUUUGAAUAAGAACUAUGUGUAAUGAUGCAAA
Gossypium raimondii (Peruvian cotton) is the source of this 479-nucleotide long non-coding RNA. RefSeq lists it as uncharacterized. NCBI's taxonomy places the organism in Eukaryota, Viridiplantae, Streptophyta, Magnoliopsida, Malvales, Malvaceae. The record is from RefSeq and is a predicted model, not a curated record. The transcript has 4 exons.